RNAcentral lists this ribosomal RNA (406 nucleotides) under uncultured bacterium. RNAcentral's name for it is "partial 16S ribosomal RNA". It matches the Rfam family "Bacterial small subunit ribosomal RNA", at positions 30 to 526 of the family's 1533-position model. The record is from RNAcentral.
AUUGAACGCUGGCGGCAGGCCUAACACAUGCAAGUCGAACGAGUGGCGGACGGGUGAGUAAUGUCUGGGAAACUGCCUGAUGGAGGGGGAUAACUACUGGAAACGGUAGCUAAUACCGCAUACCAUCAGAUGUGCCCAGACGGGAUUAGCUGGGUGGUGGGGUAACGGCUCACCAAGGAGACGAUCCCUAGCUGGUCUGAGAGGCUUACACGACACACUGGAACUGAGACACGGUCCAAACUCCUACGGGAGGCAGCAGUGGGUAAUAUUGCACAAUGGGCGCAAGCCUGAUGCAGCCAUGCCGCUUGUAUGAAGAAGGCCGUCGGGUUGUAAAGUACUUUCAGCGGGGAGGCGUUACCCGCAGAAGAAGCACCGGCUAACUCCGUGCCAGCAGCCGCGGUAAUAC